Molecule: ribosomal RNA, 304 nt
Filed under: uncultured bacterium
Lineage: Bacteria
Description: partial 16S ribosomal RNA
Rfam family: Bacterial small subunit ribosomal RNA
Source: RNAcentral
CAGCAGCAGCCGCGGUAAUACGGAGGGUGCAAGCGUUAAUCGGAAUUACUGGGCGUAAAGCGCACGCAGGCGGUCUGACAAGUCAGAUGUGAAAUCCCCGGGCUUAACCUGGGAACUGCAUUUGAAACUGUCAGGCUGGAGUCUUGUAGAGGGGGGUAGAAUUCCAGGUGUAGCGGUGAAAUGCGUAGAGAUCUGGAGGAAUACCGGUGGCGAAGGCGGCCCCCUGGACAAAGACUGACGCUCAGGUGCGAAAGCGUGGGGAGCAAACAGGAUUAGAUACCCGUGUAGUCCCUGUCUCUUAUAU